AAGUAAAAGUCGUAACAAGGUUUCCGUAGGUGAACCUGCGGAAGGAUCAUUAAUGAAGUGAAAUUGUCUUACCUUCGGUGCUGGCUCUUCUUACUUGUAAAAGAGGAUGAGAGCAUGUGCACGUUGGAGGGCAUAUAUCCAAUCCCCACUUGUGAACCCUUGCCUUUGCUGGCUUCGGCUGGUAGAGGAUUUUACACAAACACGAAUGUAAUGAAAUAAUGUUGUGCUGAGCACUUAUAAUACAACUUUCAACAACGGAUCUCUUGGCUCUCGCAUCGAUGAAGAACGCAGCGAAAUGCGAUAAGUAAUGUGAAUUGCAGAAUUCAGUGAAUCAUCGAAUCUUUGAACGCACCUUGCACCCUUUGGUAUUCCAAAGGGUAUGCUCGNUUGAGUGUCAUUAUACUCUCACACUCUCUGAUUAGUGAUUAGAGAGCGGUGGACUUGGAUGUUGUCUGGUACUUGCUGUCAGGCUCAUCUUAAAUGACUUAGUACAACUCCUAGUUAAACAUAGUACGGCGUUAUAACUAAACCCCCGCUGUUUUUUUUGUCUGAUUAGGAGCUCUGUUGCUUCGAACCGUCUUCGGACAAUUCUGAUAACUUGACCUCAAAUCGAGUAGGAUUACCCGCUGAACUUAAGCAUNUC
This 643-nucleotide ribosomal RNA is filed under the name uncultured Sebacina. RNAcentral describes it as "eukaryotic LSU rRNA". The stretch from base 244 to 397 matches the Rfam family "5.8S ribosomal RNA". Lineage: Eukaryota; Fungi; Basidiomycota; Agaricomycetes; Sebacinales; Sebacinaceae. The record is from RNAcentral.